Molecule: long non-coding RNA, 3961 nt
Filed under: Sus scrofa (pig)
Lineage: Eukaryota; Metazoa; Chordata; Mammalia; Artiodactyla; Suidae
Description: lncRNA (ENSSSCG00000062224.1)
Source: RNAcentral
UUUUUUUUUUUUUUUUUUUUUUUUUUUUUUUUGUCUUUUGUCUUUUUUGUUGUUGUUGUUGUUGUUGUUGUUGUUGUUGCUAUUUCUUGGGCCGCUCCCGCGGCAUAUGGAGGUUCCCAGGCCAGGGGUCCAAUCGGAGCUGUAGCCACCGGCCUACGCCAGAGCCACAGCAACGCGCGAUCUGAGCCGCGUCUGCAACCUACACCACAGCUCACGGCAACGCCGGAUCAUUAACCCACUGAGCAAGGGCAGGGAUCGAACCCGCAACCUCAUGGUUCCUAGUCGGAUUCGUUAACCACUGCGCCACGACGGGAACUCCCCUCCAUCACUUCUUGCUGUCUCUAUCAGGAGAGCAAAAGUGUUAAAAGAAACUCUCAACUUAUAUAUCAUUUGCAAAAUUAUGACUUUUUUACUUAUAAGGAAAACUGGAAAAUGUAAUUUUUUAGGUGAACACACUGCCACUCUGACUAAAGUGAUUCUGUUGGAAAAGAGGGGCGAGUGGAUAUUGAGUAGGCAGCCUGCAAUAUCUACCAUAAAGAGUUUAGGAGUUCCUUUGUGGCACAAUGUGUUAAGGAUCCGGCGUUUUCAGUGAAGUGGCUUAGGUCACCGCUCUGGCACAUGUUCUAUCCCUAGCCCAAGGACUUCCACAGGCUGUGGGCACAAUCCCCCCAACCCUCCGAAAAAAGCUUGGACUUCCAACCUAUACCACAACUAGCCUAUAUUGUAGCCUCAUGUUCUCUGCUGAUUUAGUCUUUAUCAGGUAGGGCUAGGGGCCAGGGACUGAUUUAAUAAAGGUGAAGUGUGGAUUACUAUUUUAACUUAUAUGUAAAACUAGUGGCUGAGCCAUUGGUAUACACUAUUCACACAGAAGAAUUAACAUUCCUGAGGACUAGAAACAUAAAAAAGGCAAUUUUGCAUGUGCAAAAGACAAAGUGGUGUAAGAAAUAAUUUUAAUGCAGUUAUACCUCUUUUCCAGCAAGCUACAGGAUCUCUAAUAUUUAACUGAGAACUUCUUUUUUUUAAGGGUCCCUCCUGCAGCAUAUGGAAGUUCCCAAGGUAGAGCUUGAAUCAGAGCUUAGGCUGCCUGUCUAUGUCACAGCCAUAGAAACACAGGAUCCAAGCCUCCUCUGUGACCUAUGCUGCACCUUGCAACACCAGAUCCUUAACCCACUGAGCGAGGCCAGGGAUCAAAUCCGAAUCCUCGUGGAUACUAGUCAGAUUCUUAACCUGCUGAGCCACAGCAGGAACUCCCUGAGAACUUACUUUUGUAAUUACUCAACUUGGCAUAAGGAUAUUUUUCGGGAAUGUAGAGACAAAUAAAAGAUAUUUUAAACUGCCAACGUAAUUAUAAGUAUGUGGUUUAAAAACAUAGCUUUAGGGUUAAUCAAGGUGUUUUUGUUUCUUUUUGUUUCUUUGGUUGGGUUUUUUUUUGCUUUUUAGGGCCACAUCCAUGGCAUAUGAAGGUUCCCAUUCGGAGCUACAGCUGCCAGCCUGCACCACAGCCAUAGCAACAUCAGAUCCAAGCCGCAUCUGCAACACCACAGCUCACAGCCAUGCCGGAUCCUUAACCCACUGAGCAAGGUCAGGGAUCGAACCUGCAACCUUAUGGUUCCUAGUCGGGUUUGUUUCCACUGUGCCAUGACAGGAACUUGUAGCAGGCUUUUCAAAAUUAAAAGUAUCUUCUUUUUUUUGUAAUCCCCCCCCCUUUUUUUUAAUCUGCCACACCUGCAGCAUAUAGAAGUUCCCGGGCCACGGGGUCAAAUUGGAGCUGAAGCUGCAGCCAACACCGCAGUCACAGCAACACCAGAUCUGAGCUGCAUCUGUGACAUACACUGCAUCUUGCAUCAACACUGGGUCCUUAACCCACUGAGCAAGGCCAGGGAUAUAGAUGACAUGGGAUCCUUUACCCCCUGAGUCAUAACGGGAACUCCAAGUAUCUUCUGAUUUUAAUGGGAAAUUGGAGAGGAAAAAUUUUUCAACUCCCCCCCCCCACUUUUUAGGGCUGCACCUGCAGCAUAUUGGAAGUUCUCAGGCUAGGAGUCAAAUUGGAGCUGCAGCUGCCGGCCUCUACCAUAGCCACGCCAGAUCCAAACUGCAUCUGCAACCUACACCGCACCUUACAGCAAUGCUAGAUCUUUUAACCCACUGAGCGAGGCCCGGAAUCAAACCCACAUCAUUAUGGAUACUAAUCAGGUUCGUAAUCCACUGAGCCACAGGGGAAACUCUUUUACUUUUUAAAUUGUAUUCAUUUCUACUUUUUUUUUGGCCAUGCCCUGCAGCAUUCAGAAGUUCCUGGGCCAGGGAACAAACUACCACAGCAGCGACCUCAGCCACUGCAGUGUCAACUGCAUCAGCAUCCUUAACCCAUUGAGCCAUCAGGAAACUCCUGUAGUUUUAAAAGUAGUAUUAUUUCAUCUGUGUCUCCUAGCAGAAUAAGCCAAUUAGAUACCACAUUAGAUUAAAAGUGUUCAGGUUAUCCAUUUUACCAUUAGGGACAACAAUAUAAAAAUGUGUCUAGAAAUUAUUGAGAAAGAUCAAGUUGACCUGUGUCCAUUUUAAGAUUUUGUGUGUGUGUGUGUAUAUAUAAAAUUUAGGGCCACACUUGCAGCAUAUGGGGGGUUCACAGGCUAGGUCUCAAAUCGGAGCUUCAGCUGCCAGCCACAGCCACAGCAAUGCUGAGCCACAGCCAGAACUCCAAAGAUUAUAUUUUCUUAUAUAUGUUACCAAAUUAUCCCCAAAUUUCUAAAAAUAGUAAUUGCUAAAUAAAAUGCCCUAGAAUAUUGAUUUAUGUGAGUUGUUAGUAUUUCUUGAAAAAAAAGAUGCUCUUACCAGGAGUUCCUGUUGUGGCACAGUUGAAACUAAUCUGAUUAGUAUCCCUGAGGAUGUGGGUUCAAUCUCUGGCCUCACUCAGUGGGUCAGGGAUCCAGCAUUGAGGUGAACUGUGGUGUAGGUUGCAGAUGUGGCUUGGAUCUGGUGUUGCUGUGGUUGUGGUGUAGGCUGGUAACUGCAGCUCCAAUUUGACCCCUAGCCUGGGAACUUAUAUUUGCCAUGGGUGCAGCAUGUAAAAAAAAAACUAAUCAAAUACUAGAUUGAACAAAAUUAAGCUGAUCAUUGAUUGGUUUUUCAGAACCUGUAACAUGCCAUGCAAGUGAAUUACCUGAUAACAGUAUUCACUUUUCAAAGAGCACCCCCAAGUCUGUGCCAGUCUAAGUUUCUGCAAUUAGUUUGAUGCUUACCCAGGCCCAAGUUGAACUCCCAUCCUACAGCUGUGAUUUAGUAGGACUUGGAAACAAUUCACCAGGUAACCUUGACGCCAGGAUUUUGCUUCUCUUUAAAUUACUGCAUGUUGUGUUCUGAAUAUUUGUGUCCCCCGAAAUGCAUAUGAUCAUAUCCUAGUCCUCAAGGUGAUAGUAUUAGCAGGCAGGGCCUUUGGAAGGUAGUCAUGAGAACAGAGCCCUCCUGAAUGAGAUUAGUACCCUUAUAGAAAAGACCCUUGAAGCUUAGCUAGCCCAGUUCUGCCAAAUGAGGACACAGUCAAAAGAUACCCAUUUAUGAACAAAGUUUCAGGUCAUCACCAGGCAUCAAAUCUACUGGCACCUUGGUCUUGGACUUCCCAGUCUUCCAAGCAGUGAGAAAUACAUUUCUGUUUUUUAUAAGCCAACUAAUCUAUGGUAUUCUGUUAUAGCAGCCCGAAUGGACCAGGACAUCCUGAUGACAUCUCCAGACUUAAAUUCUCUUCAGGAGGUUUGACUGAUAGACCCAAGGGAUUGAACUGUGUCAUGGUUGGCAUAGGCCGCUGACUGCAUUGUUUAUUAUAAUGCUGUCCUCAUAGUUUGUCACUCAUACACUAUAGCUUUUACUUUUGAAACAUCCAUAUGCUCUUCAAGUUUACUAUUUAUUUAGGGCUGAUGAUGACUAUAAUUAAUAUUACAAAGUCAUGGAAAAGGACAUCCAAAUAAAA